Ochotona curzoniae (black-lipped pika) is the source of this 164-nucleotide long non-coding RNA. RefSeq lists it as uncharacterized. NCBI's taxonomy places the organism in Eukaryota, Metazoa, Chordata, Mammalia, Lagomorpha, Ochotonidae. The transcript has 3 exons. The record is from RefSeq and is a predicted model, not a curated record.
UCUUCCUGAACAGGUGAGCAGGUCACUGCCUUCUUCCUGAACAGGUGAGCAGGCUGCUGCCCUCUUCCAGGCAGCCAUCUUCUUGUGGGUUCCAAGUGAGCGACUGCAUUCUGGCUCUACAACUGGCUGUCCUGUGUCCUCAAGUUUGUUAGCAAAGUAUUUUU